CAAAUGUCUGCUGGAGAGAUAGGAAGUUGUGGAGCAAAUGAGAAGGGACAGCACUGUCCUGUCAUUAACACGUUCAGAAGAAGUCGGAUAUCCCAGCAAGAUCACAGAAUCACAAGAGUUGGAAGGAACCUCAAGAGACUAUUGAAUCCAACCCCCCUGCUAAGGUCUGACCAACAGAAGGAGUGGCUGCAGUGCAUGCUGUGCCUUUAGUGCACUCCUCAACACGGCACCCAGAAAAUCAAAGUGUGGAAACUGACAGAAUAACCAUUGUGUCGCCCUUUAGCAACUAUCUGCUAAAACAUGGAGGUCGUUCUAUGAAGCAGCCUUCCUUCUAUCUGAGUGAGAGGUAACCAGUUUUGGGUAGCAGGAUUUUUACCUGCCCUAAUCAGCCCAAGAAUGGGUGAUCCUUCUACCUAUAGCUCUUCCUUGGCGACUGCAUACACAUACCCUCAGCCUCUCCCCAUCAAACAGAUUGCAACAAGUGUCAGGACUACAGGGUUUUCGUAUACUCCAUGAUCAUCGGAACACCUUGCAGGGAGUGCGCAGCGAGGAGUA
RNAcentral lists this long non-coding RNA (555 nucleotides) under Gallus gallus (chicken). RNAcentral's name for it is "long non-coding RNA NONGGAT003397". The record is from RNAcentral. Lineage: Eukaryota; Metazoa; Chordata; Aves; Galliformes; Phasianidae.